Molecule: ribosomal RNA, 405 nt
Filed under: uncultured Rhodocyclaceae bacterium
Lineage: Bacteria; Pseudomonadati; Pseudomonadota; Betaproteobacteria; Rhodocyclales; Rhodocyclaceae
Description: bacterial SSU rRNA
Rfam family: Bacterial small subunit ribosomal RNA
Source: RNAcentral
UUGACAUGUCCGGAAUCCCGAAGAGAUUUGGGAGUCGCUCGCAAGAGAACCGGAACGACAGGUGCUGCAUGGCUGUCGUCAGCUCGUGUCGUGAGAUGUUGGGUUAAGUCCCGCAACGAGCGCAACCCUUGUCAUUAGUUGCCAUCGAUUUGGUUGGGCACUCUAAUGAGACUGCCGGUGACAAACCGGAGGAAGGUGGGGAUGACGUCAAGUCCUCAUGGCCCUUAUGGGUAGGGCUUCACACGUCAUACAAUGGUCGGUACAGAGGGUUGCCAACCCGCGAGGGGGAGCUAAUCCCACAAAGCCGAUCGUAGUCCGGAUCGCAGUCUGCAACUCGACUGCGUGAAGUCGGAAUCGCUAGUAAUCGUGGAUCAGCAUGUCACGGUGAAUACGUUCCCGGGUCUU